This 301-nucleotide ribosomal RNA is filed under the name uncultured bacterium. RNAcentral describes it as "partial 16S ribosomal RNA". It matches the Rfam family "Bacterial small subunit ribosomal RNA", at positions 509 to 807 of the family's 1533-position model. The record is from RNAcentral.
CAGUCGCCGCGGUAAUACGAAGGGUGCAAGCGUUACUCGGAAUUACUGGGCGUAAAGCGUGCGUAGGUGGUGGUUUAAGUCCGUUGUGAAAGCCCUGGGCUCAACCUGGGAAUUGCAGUGGAUACUGGGUCACUAGAGUGUGGUAGAGGAUAGUGGAAUUUCCGGUGUAGCAGUGAAAUGCGUAUAGAUCGGAAGGAACAUCUGUGGCGAAGGCGACUAUCUGGGCCAACACUGACACUGAGGCACGAAAGCGUGGGGAGCAAACAGGAUUAGAUACCCCAGUAGUCCCUGUCUCUUAUAC